AGAGUUUGAUCAUGGCUCAGGAUGAACGCUAGCUACAGGCUUAACACAUGCAAGUCGAGGGGAAACGACAUCGAAAGCUUGCUUUUGAUGGGCGUCGACCGGCGCACGGGUGAGUAACGCGUAUCCAACCUGCCCACCACUUGGGGAUAACCUUGCGAAAGUAAGACUAAUACCCAAUGACGUCUCUAGAAGACAUCUGAAGGAGAUUAAAGAUUUAUCGGUGAUGGAUGGGGAUGCGUCUGAUUAGCUUGGUUGGCGGGGUAACGGCCACCAAGGCGACGAUCAGUAGGGGUUCUGAGAGGAAGGUCCCCCCANAUUGGAACUGGAGACACGGUCCAAACUCCUACGGGAGCCA
RNAcentral lists this ribosomal RNA (355 nucleotides) under uncultured bacterium. RNAcentral's name for it is "bacterial SSU rRNA". It matches the Rfam family "Bacterial small subunit ribosomal RNA", at positions 8 to 350 of the family's 1533-position model. The record is from RNAcentral.